RNAcentral lists this ribosomal RNA (262 nucleotides) under uncultured archaeon. RNAcentral's name for it is "partial 16S ribosomal RNA". It matches the Rfam family "Archaeal small subunit ribosomal RNA", at positions 716 to 982 of the family's 1478-position model. The record is from RNAcentral.
ACAGUCACACAUUAGAUACCCCCGUAGUCCUGGCCGUAAACGAUGUGGACUUGGUGUUGGGAUGGCUCCGAGCUGCCCCAGUGCCGAAGGGAAGCUGUUAAGUCCACCUGGGAAGUACGGCCGCAAGGCUGAAACUUAAAGGAAUUGGCGGGGGAGCACCACAACGGGUGGAGCUUGCGGUUUAAUUGGAUUCAACGCCGGACAUCUCACCGGAUAAGACAGCUGAAUGAUUGUCAAUCUGAAGGUUUUACAUGACUAGCUG